CCUACGGGAGGCAGCAGUAGGGAAUCUUCCACAAUGGGCGAAAGCCUGAUGGAGCAACGCCGCGUGGGUGAAGAAGGUCUUCGGAUCGUAAAACCCUGUUGUUAGAGAAGAAAGUGCGUGAGAGUAACUGUUCACGUUUCGACGGUAUCUAACCAGAAAGCCACGGCUAACUACGUGCCAGCAGCCGCGGUAAUACGUAGGUGGCAAGCGUUAUCCGGAUUUAUUGGGCGUAAAGGGAACGCAGGCGGUCUUUUAAGUCUGAUGUGAAAGCCUUCGGCUUAACCGGAGUAGUGCAUUGGAGACUGGGAGACUUGAGUGCAGAAGAGGAGAGUGGAACUCCAUGUGUAGCGGUGAAAUGCGUAGAUAUAUGGAAGAACACCAGUGGCGAAAGCGGCUCUCUGGACUGUAACUGACGCUGAGGUUCGAAAGCGUGGGUAGCAAACAGGAUUAGAUACCCUAGUAGUC
Molecule: ribosomal RNA, 465 nt
Filed under: uncultured bacterium
Lineage: Bacteria
Description: partial 16S ribosomal RNA
Rfam family: Bacterial small subunit ribosomal RNA
Source: RNAcentral